ACCAAACACUAAGGUAGGCUGCUGAUUUCAAGGUUAAAUACAUGGUUUCCUACCUUAAUAAAACUUAAGAACACAAACUAAAACUUAGGAGAGAUUGUUGUUGGAAGUAAGCAAAGGAGGAAGCUUGAGAUUUAAAGCAUCAAGAGUUGGAAAAUCUUCAUUGGAAAAGAGAAACUAUUUCAGAUGAAUUAGCAUAUGGUUCUGAAAAUGCUUAGAAGAUGAGAG
RNAcentral lists this small RNA (225 nucleotides) under Vigna angularis var. angularis. RNAcentral's name for it is "Non-protein coding transcript". Lineage: Eukaryota; Viridiplantae; Streptophyta; Magnoliopsida; Fabales; Fabaceae. The record is from RNAcentral.